GUUUGAUCCUGGCUCAGAACGAACGCUGGCGGCAGGCUUAACACAUGCAAGUCGAACGCCCCGCAAGGGGAGUGGCAGACGGGUGAGUAACGCGUGGGAAUCUACCGUGCCCUGCGGAAUAGCUCCGGGAAACUGGAAUUAAUACCGCAUACGCCCUACGGGGGAAAGAUUUAUCGGGGUAUGAUGAGCCCGCGUUGGAUUAGCUAGUUGGUGGGGUAAAGGCCUACCAAGGCGACGAUCCAUAGCUGGUCUGAGAGGAUGAUCAGCCACAUUGGGACUGAGACACGGCCCAAACUCCUACGGGAGGCAGCAGUGGGGAAUAUUGGACAAUGGGCGCAAGCCUGAUCCAGCCAUGCCGCGUGAGUGAUGAAGGCCUUAGGGUUGUAAAGCUCUUCACCGGAGAAGAUAAUGAC
This 413-nucleotide ribosomal RNA is filed under the name Agrobacterium tumefaciens. RNAcentral's name for it is "bacterial SSU rRNA". It matches the Rfam family "Bacterial small subunit ribosomal RNA", at positions 11 to 455 of the family's 1533-position model. Lineage: Bacteria; Pseudomonadati; Pseudomonadota; Alphaproteobacteria; Hyphomicrobiales; Rhizobiaceae. The record is from RNAcentral.